ACCUCACUCUUAUUUUCACGAUUCUGAAACAAACUAAAUGGAAGAACGCAGAACAAAUCCCCUCCCCCUCUAUCUCAAUUUCGUUCGCGAUGAACAACCAUGGCGGCUUUCUUUCAUUUGCUCAAACAACAACGAACCGGCCCUAGUUUCGCUCUAGGCCUCUCUCGCGAAAACAACAACAAAACAUCUCUCUUGGUUUACUCACAAACUCGCGGUUCUCACUCGGUUUAAACAGCAAGAAGUUCAUGGUUCUCUUGCUCAGUAAGUGACAACAACAACAGUGAUUCGGUUUUCCUCUCUUGAUCGCUCUCUAUCUCUCACUCGCGGCCAUGGAAGAAGCUUGAAGAAGCUUGAAGAACCCAGAAACUAACAACAAUAGUUAUCAUAUCUUAAUAAAAACUAGCAGCAACGAUUAUUAAUGAUAAAGAGUGGAAUCGAGUUACCUGCGGCGAGGAGACUUUCGCCGGAUUUUGUUGAGAUUCGGUUCUGGCUGGUGAGCAAGAAGCGUGUUUGCCGGCUGCGGUGUUGAAGAUGUAUGCCGAAGCUAAGUUCUGAACCUUAGCUUUGAAUCACUACUUCUUUGUUUCUGAACCGCCUUUGAAUUGUUGUAGGCUUUUGAUGAAGGUGAUGCCACAACACCUCUUUGGACUUAUGGGAGCGCCUUGAAGAUGGAACUUCAAGUUGUUGGAAGCUUGAAGAUGAAGAUCUUCAAGAAAGGUUCUUGCAUGAAAUAUAUGUUCAAAGGAAUAUAUAAAGUAUUGUUUCUUAGAUCCAUCUAAAAUUGGUCUGCCUCGUGGCUCGAAAGGAAACCAUGCCCUUGUUUACAAGACAAGUUGAAAGAGAACAAAGAUUUGACCAUGUUUUAUUACGAGUAAGUAUAUAUUAAUUUAUGUUUUGAACUAUAAAUCAAUUUUAUACACAAUAUUAAUUAUUCUGAAUGUUUAUGCAGUAAUCAUUAACAACUAAUUGUUAUAUGUUCGAGGCUAAAUAUUAUAUGUUUAGUUUUCCUGUUGUACUCUAAACUCCCUAAAGUCGUGGUUAACGUUUUGAAUGCAUAAUCCGUAUUAUUUGUAAUACUUAAACUUUACCUUUAGAAUUGAAUAGUUUUUAUUUAGGAUUAGUUUUAACCGAUAUGUGUAGAGUGAUGGAGGGAUACAAUGCAAUCAAACAUAAUACACUUAGUAAAAAGUCACAAUUUUUAUUUCCUAAGAGUAAGUAUAUUACUUGUGCUUUUUGAAAUUAAAUUAUUUAUGUGUAUUAGUGAUAUAAAUAUAUGAAAAUUAAUUAUAUUGGCAAAAACAACCCGACAACCAGUCUAGUGGAUACUAUGUUAUGAGAUAUAUGCUCCAUAUUGUCUUUGGAGGCAUUGCAAAUAGAUGGAUGAAGAAUGAGGUAUUAGCUUAACCCCCCCCCACACACACACACACGAUCUUUGAUGAAUUAAGUUGAGGUUUCCAAUCAAAACAUAGGCAUGUCAAAUGGUAGAGGCACUAUGAGCGUACAUUCUUCAAAAAAAGACUUAAAAAAAUAGUAUGGUCUCUGGUUGAUUAAGGCCUAGUCGAUUGAAGUUUCCAAAUGGAUAAAGACAAACGGUUUUCUCAAGGACACGUGGAAACCUAUCAGACAAAUAUGCAUGGAUUAAAGGUGUGGCAUUAGUAGCUUAGUCGACCGUUAGAAACAGUUAUUUUAGGAUUUAUUUGUUUUCAGUUUUAGAGGUCCACAUUUGUUAGAUUGUAAAUAUGCAAGGAUACAGCCCCAUUCAUCUUGCUAUGAAUAACCUCCCCAUUCAUCCUGCUGAGGACAACCCCCAAAGGGUGAUGGUGUUAAAGUUGGUUUGACUCCACUUCAUAUUGCAUGUAAAAAUGGGGAGGUGUUGAACUUUUAGUUGAAUUCCUCACUGCUUGUCCGGAUUCCAUUGAAGAUGUAACCGUGAGAGGUGAAUCUACAUCCCAUAUUGCUAUAAUCAAUCAUCAAUUUAAGGCCCUUCAAGUACUUGUUACUUGGCUCAAAGAAAAUUGCAAGACAUGUGCUAGAAAGCUGCAAAAUAAAAUAUUCAACCACUACGAUGAAGAGUUGGGGAACUUUAUACAACUCUUGAUUUUGUUAGAACAAGAAAUGUUCUGAUCAAUAUUCUUAGUUUAGAUGAUAACAUUAUAUAUGAAUUUUGUAUAAGAGAAUGUGGUACUCUAAUUAUUCACGUUUUCCAUUGCAGCAAAAGUAUAAAAGAGAAUGCACAAAUCACCGUUCAGAAGCACUGACCCAGAAGUUCUGGAUGGCUUCAUCAGAACAUGGUCUGGAAAGACAUCAGAUGAGGGUCCUGCCGAAUCAGAACAUGAACUGGAAAGCAUCAUAAGAUGGCAGUCAGAAGCAAAACUCUGAAGCUCUGAUGGUAUCACGCUCAAAGCACUUCAAAGUCUGAAGACAGAAGUUGCAUCUGCAGCAAAGCUAAAGACUCGUAUAUUCAAACGUCUAUUCUACACAUUCUGAGUCCAGAAGAAAGUACAACUACAAAAGGCUAUAACGUCAAAUCUCUGACUAACAAAAGGAACGUUAGAAUCUACAAAAGGCAAAGUCAGUAAAAGCAGUGAAAGCAUGGCUCGAGGUAGUUGACAAAAGUGUGAAACAUUAAAUGCAGCAUUGUACUAUUCACGCAAAGCAUUAAAUGCUCCCAACGAUCAUUUCCUCUCAACGACUAUAUAUAGAAGUUCUGAUUCAGAAGCAGCUAUCCAAAUCUUGCGCAAACACACAGAAACACUGUCAAACUGAAAAUCAAAGAAGAACUUCAUC
Vicia villosa (hairy vetch) is the source of this 2787-nucleotide long non-coding RNA. RefSeq lists it as uncharacterized. The record is from RefSeq and is a predicted model, not a curated record. Lineage: Eukaryota; Viridiplantae; Streptophyta; Magnoliopsida; Fabales; Fabaceae. The transcript has 4 exons.